GAUGAACGCUAGCGGCAGGCUUAAUACAUGCAAGUCGAACGGCAGCACAGCAGAGCUUGCUCUGUGGGUGGCGAGUGGCGGACGGGUGAGGAAUACAUGGGAAUCUGCCCAGUCGUGGGGGAUAACGUAUGGAAACGUACGCUAAUACCGCAUGCGCCCUACGGGGGAAAGCCGGGGACCGCAAGGCUUGGCGCGAUUGGAUGAGCCCAUGUUCGAUUAGCUAGUUGGCGGGGUAAAGGCCCACCAAGGCGACGAUCGAUAGCUGGUCUGAGAGGAUGAUCAGCCACACUGGAACUGAGACACGGUCCAGACUCCUACGGGAGGCAGCAGUAGGGAAUAUUGGACAAUGGGGGCAACCCUGAUCCAGCCAUGCCGCGUGAGUGAAGAAGGCCCUCGGGUUGUAAAGCUCUUUUGUCCGGAAAGAAAAGCAAUCGGUUAAUACCGGUUGUUCUGACGGUACCGGAAGAAUAAGCACCGGCUAACUUCGUGCC
This 491-nucleotide ribosomal RNA is filed under the name uncultured bacterium. RNAcentral's name for it is "bacterial SSU rRNA". It matches the Rfam family "Bacterial small subunit ribosomal RNA", at positions 28 to 509 of the family's 1533-position model. The record is from RNAcentral.